GGGCUCCCGGGAACCAGGAGAGAUACUGCCCCGGAAGCUGA
This is a small nucleolar RNA of Panthera pardus (leopard), 41 nucleotides long. The record is from Ensembl. NCBI's taxonomy places the organism in Eukaryota, Metazoa, Chordata, Mammalia, Carnivora, Felidae.